GGAGAGUUAGAUCUUGGCUCAGAUUGAACGCUGGCGGCAGGCCUAACACAUGCAAGUCGAACGGUAGCGGGAAGAAGCUUGCUUCUUUGCCGACGAGUGGCGGACGGGUGAGUAAUGUCUGGGAAACUGCCCGAUGGAGGGGGAUAACUACUGGAAACGGUAGCUAAUACCGCAUAACGUCUACGGACCAAAGUGGGGGACCUUCGGGCCUCACACCAUCGGAUGUGCCCAGAUGGGAUUAGCUAGUAGGUGGGGUAACGGCUCACCUAGGCGACGAUCCCUAGCUGGUCUGAGAGGAUGACCAGCCACACUGGAACUGAGACACGGUCCAGACUCCUACGGGAGGCAGCAGUGGGGAAUAUUGCACAAUGGGCGCAAGCCUGAUGCAGCCAUGCCGCGUGUAUGAAGAAGGCCUUCGGGUUGUAAAGUACUUUCAGCGGGGAGGAAGGGUGAGCGGUUAAUAAUCGCUUUCAUUGACGUUACCCGCAGAAGAAGCACCGGCUAACUCCGUGCCAGCAGCCGCGGUAAUACGGAGGGUGCAAGCGUUAAUCGGAAUUACUGGGCGUAAAGCGCACGCAGGCGGUCUGUCAAGUCGGAUGUGAAAUCCCCGGGCUCAACCCGGGAACUGCAUUCGAAACUGGUAGACUGGAGUCUUGUAGAGGGGGGUAGAAUUCCAGGUGUAGCGGUGAAAUGCGUAGAGAUCUGGAGGAAUACCGGUGGCGAAGGCGGCCCCCUGGACAAAGACUGACGCUCAGGUGCGAAAGCGUGGGGAGCAAACAGGAUUAGAUACCCUGGUAGUCCACGCCGUAAACGAUGUCGACUUGGAGGCUGUUCCCUUGAGGAGUGGCUUCCGGAGCUAACGCGUUAAGUCGACCGCCUGGGGAGUACGGCCGCAAGGUUAAAACUCAAAUGAAUUGACGGGGGCCCGCACAAGCGGUGGAGCAUGUGGUUUAAUUCGAUGCAACGCGAAGAACCUUACCUGGCCUUGACAUCCACGGAAUUCUGCAGAGAUGCGGAAGUGCCUUCGGGACCCGUGAGACAGGUGCUGCAUGGCUGUCGUCAGCUCGUGUUGUGAAAUGUUGGGUUAAGUCCCGCAACGAGCGCAACCCUUAUCCUUUGUUGCCAGCGAUUCGGUCGGGAACUCAAAGGAGACUGCCGGUGAUAAACCGGAGGAAGGUGGGGAUGACGUCAAGUCAUCAUGGCCCUUACGGCCAGGGCUACACACGUGCUACAAUGGCGCAUACAAAGAGAAGCGACCUCGCGAGAGCAAGCGGACCUCAUAAAGUGCGUCGUAGUCCGGAUCGGAGUCUGCAACUCGACUCCGUGAAGUCGGAAUCGCUAGUAAUCGUAGAUCAGAAUGCUACGGUGAAUACGUUCCCGGGCCUUGUACACACCGCCCGUCACACCAUGGGAGUGGGUUGCAAAAGAAGUAGGUAGCUUAACCUUCGGGAGGGCGCUUACCACUUUGUGAUUCAUGACUGGGGUGAAGUCGUAACAAGGUAACCGUAGGGGAACCUGCGGUUGGAUCACCUCCUUACCUGAAGAUACCUUCCGGCGCAGUGUCCACACAGAUUGUCUGAUGAAAAAGUAACGAGCAGAAAAACCUCUACAGGCUUGUAGCUCAGGUGGUUAGAGCGCACCCCUGAUAAGGGUGAGGUCGGUGGUUCAAGUCCACUCAGGCCUACCAAAUUUUCACUCAUGCUGCGUUAUGUUCUCGGCUCGCAUAGUGACUAUGCUUCGCGAAAACAUGCCUUGCCUGAGUAAAAAUUACAUUUUCAGUUAUCAAAAAGAAAAUGUGACUCCUCAUGAGUGGUAGACAAAGGUUUCUGUCAGACCGUAUGGGGCUAUAGCUCAGCUGGGAGAGCGCCUGCCUUGCACGCAGGAGGUCAGCGGUUCGAUCCCGCUUAGCUCCACCAUAUGGUUUUUCGUAAUGCAAUACUUCAGAGCGUACUGGCUGACAGUAUGCUGUGAAGUAUUAUGCUCUUUAACAAUCCGGAACAAGCUGAAAAUUGAAACGACGUGUCGUGUUCAUUCUCCGUAAUAAGAAUGAAGUAAACGAUGCGUUCGAGUCUCUCAAAUGCUUACAAUCGACACACGUCUUUCGGGACGCUUGUGGGUUGUGAGGUUAAGCGACUAAGCGUACACGGUGGAUGCCCAGGCAGUCAGAGGCGAUGAAGGGCGUGCUAAUCUGCGAUAAGCGUCGGUAAGGUGAUAUGAACCGCAACAACCGACGAUACCCGAAUGGGGAAACCCGG
RNAcentral lists this small RNA (2255 nucleotides) under Erwinia uzenensis. RNAcentral describes it as "bacterial SSU rRNA". The stretch from base 1 to 1537 matches the Rfam family "Bacterial small subunit ribosomal RNA". Lineage: Bacteria; Pseudomonadati; Pseudomonadota; Gammaproteobacteria; Enterobacterales; Erwiniaceae. The record is from RNAcentral.